CUCUCUGAGGAGGCAGCAGCUCUCUCACGAGGCAGCAGCUUCUCUGGAGGAAGCAGCUCUCUGGGUGCCCUUGGCCAGUGUUCAUCAGAGCACUGCCAAGAUGUCAAAGAGACAGGACGAGAACGUCCAAUUCCAGCCCCGUGAGGGGCAGCGAUUGCUGUCCAAGCGGCAACAGGUGCCUCAGAGGCCGCCGCAGGCAGCAGCAGAGGUCACAUGGGUGACCAUCGUGCCCCUCCACGGGGACAGACUCACAGGACACCUCACACAGGUGACACAGAACACCUCGUGGAGGUGUCCUCAGAAGGACAGCCUGGAGGGCAGGUAUUCACUGCUCCGCAGCGGCACAGUCACACGGCCAAAGAGGUUGUCCGUGUCAGACUUGCCGCCACUCCAUGGCCCUCCAUUGACAGUGACACCUCCGUGCCGGCUCAGCUCUGAAAUGCCAAGAGCAGCCUCGGCAAGGGUCAAGCUGCCCCCUCUGCCAGCAGCCCCAGCAGCCUCUGGGGCUUAUCCCAGAGGCAGAGCAUUGUCCAUGGGCCCUGUGGCCAGCAGCCACCGAGAGCUUGUGCCACCUUCUCGGUGGGGCACUGUGGCUGCUCACAGGGCCCGGGGAACACCUUCCCUGGACAGCUCAGCUGAAAGGCUCUGGCGAGGGUCAGCGGCAAGGCAGGGCCAUCACCUGCCACCCCUGCGACGUGCAGGGGGCAUGCUGCUCCGCACAGGGACCCAGCCUGACUGGAAACACCUGGGGCACAGCGAGAUGGAGGAGCUCAUUGAGGUGCAGGAACAGCACAGUGGCAACAUCUAUGCAGACCUGCUUAGAAGCCUUGCCCUGUGCCUGUAUGAAGACACAUCUACCAGGUCUACCUGCACCCAGGCGCAGUCAAGUGUCUGCCAGGAUGUACAUUCACAGCACCAGGUGGUGCCCAGUGCUCCUGGCUUGACCAAACAUGCCAUAGGAGAGACGGGAAAAUUCUCUAAGCUCCUGUCUCCUGCCCAGGUGUCAGAGCAGCAGUCUGUCUCUGACAACUCCCAGUCCUGGGACACUCCUCCAAAGGAGCCAAACUGGCAGGAGGAAGAGCUCCCAGUAACAGAGGCUGCAGGAGACAAGGCCAGCGACCCACAGGGCACGUUGCUUGCCCUAUUGAAAGAGAAAGAGGGAGAGCCAGGAUCUUCUACCCGGGACAAAGAUCCCUGGGAUGAGGGGAACAGCAAGCUUUUGCCCACAUCAGAGCCUGAGGUAAGCUCAGACUUCACAGCCUCUCCCUCAUCUGGACGCCACUGUGAAGAGAGGGGAGCUCAUCAGCUGCCCGAGCACACUGCACAUGGCAAGCUGCUGUGCACGGGGCCUGAGGAUGCUUCAAAGCAUCCUCUGAAUAUCGAUGCAGAGGAGCUGGAGAAGUUGGAGGAAGACAUCCUCUCCUCCCUGCAUCAAGAAAGCCCCUCGGUGCCACACAGUCUUUGUGGCUGGAGCAAAGACUCUGUAGGAGAGACCGAAAACUACACACAGCUCGUGCCCCCUGACCGGUAUGAAGAGCUGUGGUCUCUCUUAAACAACAAGGACGCCCCAUCCAGGGACGCUCGGCUAGACCAGCUACUGGCCAAGUGGGAGGAAGAAGAGCUCCAUGACACAGACACUGCUGGAGAGAGGGACAGCGAGUCACAGAGCUCGUUGUCUCUCCCACUGCAAGAUGCGGGAGCAGAGCCAGAAGCUUUUCCCCUGCACAGCGAUCCCUGCGAUGAGGAGCACAGGCAGCAUCUCCCCAUGGCACUGCCGGAACACACAAAGAUGUUUGCGGUUUGUGCCUCGCCUGCUGAUCCUGCGGAGGAGGCCGACGCAGCAUGGCUUGAGGCUGGCUGUGCCCAGGCCGCCCCUCCCCAGGAAGAGCCCCACAGGGCUGGGGAGCCGGCAGGGGCUUGCCCGCUGCCUGCCCAGCCCCUGGCACGCAGCGCUCCUGCUUGCCCCGCCGGCAGCGCAGCCGUCCCGCAGCCCCCGGCCCCACGGCCAUGGCGCUCCAUCGCCAAGACGGCCCGGCGGGCUCUGCGCCGGCUCUUCUCCUUCAGCUGCCUCCGGGGGCAGCGAGAGGACUGAGCCCAGAGCCAGAACCAGGAGGAGGCCCUGAGAUGCCGGCUCCCCCUGAGAAUGGUCGGCUCCCAGUGGCAGGUCCGGGUGGCAUUGGCACCCCACCCCAACUUUACCCCUUCUCCCCUUCUCCCUCUCCCUUUUCCCAUCCCUAUCCCUCUACCCCACAUUUCUUGUUAAAUAAAAUCCCCGUUGUUAACGUUGGUAGAUGGUCU
This 2298-nucleotide long non-coding RNA is filed under the name Cyanistes caeruleus (blue tit). Its description in RNAcentral is "lncRNA (ENSCCEG00000012590.1)". The record is from RNAcentral. Lineage: Eukaryota; Metazoa; Chordata; Aves; Passeriformes; Paridae.